GAUGAAGAACGCAGCGAAAUGCGAUAACUAAUGUGAAUUGCAGAAUUCAGUGAAUCAUCGAGUCUCUGAACGCACAUUGCGCCCCCUGGUAUUCCGGGGGGCAUGCCUGUCCGAGCGUCAUUGCUGCCCUCAAGCACGGCUUGUGUGUUGGGCUCCGUCCCCCCGGGGACGGGCCCGAAAGGCAGCGGCGGCACCGAGUCCGGUCCUCGAGCGUAUGGGGCUUUGUCACCCGCUCUGUAGGCCCGGCCGGCGCCAGCCGACAACCCAUCAUCCUUUUCAGGUUGACUUCGGAUCAGGUAGGGAUACCCGCUGAACUUAAGCAUAUCAAUAAGCGGAGGA
RNAcentral lists this unclassified non-coding RNA (339 nucleotides) under soil metagenome. RNAcentral's name for it is "partial contains 5.8S ribosomal RNA, internal transcribed spacer 2, and large subunit ribosomal RNA". The stretch from base 1 to 120 matches the Rfam family "5.8S ribosomal RNA", at positions 35 to 154 of the family's 154-position model. The record is from RNAcentral.